This is a long non-coding RNA of Micropterus dolomieu (smallmouth bass), 659 nucleotides long. RefSeq lists it as uncharacterized. The transcript is spliced from 3 exons. The record is from RefSeq and is a predicted model, not a curated record. Lineage: Eukaryota; Metazoa; Chordata; Actinopteri; Centrarchiformes; Centrarchidae.
GGAUCGGCAGCUAGCGUGGGACCCGUGCAACAGGCCAAAGCAGACUGUCGACAAGCAAUUUGUUUGGCUCAAUUAACCAGGACCUUGACACCUUAAAGAACAGCCUUGCUACGUUAGAGAUGGGGCCAGUACUAUUGCAGUCAACUCUGUGGUAUACACUGAGACAUGAUCUGAUAUUCUUCUGAUAUAUGACUCACUUGCUGGGAUAAAGACUGCUGCACCUGCACGCCCUGUAUCAGGAUCUUUGGAGCCAUUUGUGAAUAUAAACAUGGAGUCUGAAAAAUGUAAAUCAAAGUAAUUCUGUACUAUACUGCAUGCUGGAAGUUUCUUUGACAUAUCCUUCAAUUCCUGCUGUAUGUUUAGAUCUACAAUUGGUGUUGGGAAUAACCAGGGAGGAAUGGAAGACUGUGACACUGUAGGGCUGUAGUCUAAUUGUCGUAAUCCUAUGACUUCUGCCUUUGCAUCACCAAUCCACCCAAAACUUGUGAAAUUUGUCUCAUUGUGUUCCCAGCAAUCUAUUAAGAGACUCUUGGCAGGAUGAGAAUCACAUUGCCCCUGGAGAUUAACCCAGUAUGCCAACAUUAGCUUUACUCGCCUGAUUCUUAACGGCAUUUCUCCCAUUUCCACCUGCAUUGCUGACACCGGAGAUGUUCUGACUG